GAUCCUGCUCAGGAUGAACGCUAGCUACAGGCUUAACACAUGCAAGUCGAGGGGCAGCAUUUUAGUUUGCUUGCAAACUAAAGAUGGCGACCGGCGCACGGGUGAGUAACACGUAUCCAACCUGCCGAUAACUCAGGGAUAGCCUUUCGAAAGAAAGAUUAAUACCUGAUGGCAUAGGAUUAUCGCAUGAUAAUCCUAUUAAAGAAUUUCGGUUAUCGAUGGGGAUGCGUUCCAUUAGG
RNAcentral lists this ribosomal RNA (239 nucleotides) under uncultured bacterium. RNAcentral describes it as "partial 16S ribosomal RNA". It matches the Rfam family "Bacterial small subunit ribosomal RNA", at positions 15 to 245 of the family's 1533-position model. The record is from RNAcentral.